Long non-coding RNA from Oncorhynchus keta (chum salmon), 491 nucleotides. RefSeq lists it as uncharacterized. The record is from RefSeq and is a predicted model, not a curated record. Lineage: Eukaryota; Metazoa; Chordata; Actinopteri; Salmoniformes; Salmonidae. The transcript is spliced from 3 exons.
UUCUACCCAGCAAUCCCAUGUUUAGAUGGGGUUGACUGGGAAGAGAGUAUGGAGGUAAGUAGUAACAGAGUUUGAACCUGUUCCUGCUGAUUAACAUUCCAUACCACCCAGGUCUGGGUAUGGGAUGGAGAUGAAAAUGCAGAGGCCACCUUAACACUCUGCCUCUGCUCCGUUCCCUCAAUCACCCUGGUCAGGGUAUGAUGUGGGGGAAGGUUAGGAGGGUUUGUGUUGCCCAAAAGGAGCCCUUCCCUAUGUCAACCUUAUGAGGGUAUGACCGGGUCUCUGGGUCCCCUGGUAUGGUGGGGGUAAGCUGUUUUCUUUGAGGGGUUUCUUUGUCUUUGGUUCUUAGUUGAUCUUGGGUUGGUGAGAUCGGGUUGUCCUGUGUGGUUGGAGUAGGUGGGAGCCUGUAGUGCCAUUAGUUGAGGCCUGAACAGGGGUCUCUGUGUGAGGUGAAGUCGGCGUUCCAAUGAUGAGACUGGGCUGCCGGUCAA